AUUGAACGCUGGCGGCAGGCCUAACACAUGCAAGUCGAGCGAGCGGCGGACGGGUGAGUAAUGUAUGGGGACUGCCCGAUAGAGGGGGAUAACUACUGGAAACGGUGGCUAAUACCGCAUACUAUCGGAUAACCCAUAUGGGAUUGGCUAGUAGGUGGGGUAAAGGCUCACCUCGGCGACGAUCCCUAGCUGGGCUGAGAGGAUGAUCAGCCACACUGGGACUGAGAAACGGCCCAGACUCCUACGGAGGCAGCAGUGGGGAAUAUUGCACAAUGGGCGCAAGCCUGAUGCAGCCAUGCCGCGUGUAUGAAGAAGGCUUUCGGGUUGUAAAGUUCUUUCAGCGGGGAGGCGGUACCAGCAGAAGAAGCACCGGCUAACUCCGUGCCAGCAGCCGCGGUAAUAC
This 403-nucleotide ribosomal RNA is filed under the name uncultured bacterium. Its description in RNAcentral is "partial 16S ribosomal RNA". It matches the Rfam family "Bacterial small subunit ribosomal RNA", at positions 30 to 526 of the family's 1533-position model. The record is from RNAcentral.